CUACGGGAGGCAGCAGUGGGGAAUCUUCCGCAAUGGACGAAAGUCUGACGGAGCAACGCCGCGUGAACGAUGAAGGCCUUCGGGUCGUAAAGUUCUGUUGUUAGGGAAGAACAAGUGCUAGUUAAAUAAGCUGGCACCUUGACGGUACCUAACCAGAAAGCCACGGCUAACUACGUGCCAGCAGCCGCGGUAAUACGUAGGUGGCAAGCGUUGUCCGGAAUUAUUGGGCGUAAAGCGCGCGCAGGCGGUUCCUUAAGUCUGAUGUGAAAGCCCCCGGCUCAACCGGGGAGGGUCAUUGGAAACUGGGGAACUUGAGUGCAGAAGAGGAGAGCGGAAUUCCACGUGUAGCGGUGAAAUGCGUAGAGAUGUGGAGGAACACCAGUGGCGAAGGCGGCUCUCUGGUCUGUAACUGACGCUGAGGCGCGAAAGCGUGGGGAGCGAACAGGAUUAGAUACCCUGGUAGUCCACGCCGUAAACGAUGAGUGCUAAGUGUUAGAGGGUUUCCGCCCUUUAGUGCUGCAGCAAACGCAUUAAGCACUCCGCCUGGGGAGUACGGCCGCAAGGCUGAAACUCAAAGGAAUUGACGG
Molecule: ribosomal RNA, 587 nt
Filed under: uncultured bacterium
Lineage: Bacteria
Description: bacterial SSU rRNA
Rfam family: Bacterial small subunit ribosomal RNA
Source: RNAcentral